UACCACACUAUAGAUGGAGUAUACCACUCA
This 30-nucleotide non-coding RNA is filed under the name Mus musculus (house mouse). Lineage: Eukaryota; Metazoa; Chordata; Mammalia; Rodentia; Muridae. The record is from RNAcentral.